RNAcentral lists this long non-coding RNA (3002 nucleotides) under Sus scrofa (pig). RNAcentral describes it as "lncRNA (ENSSSCG00000063267.1, ENSSSCG00130027081.1)". The record is from RNAcentral. Lineage: Eukaryota; Metazoa; Chordata; Mammalia; Artiodactyla; Suidae.
GGUCUUGUGAGGACAGAGGCAUUGACCAGGUGGGGGAUACUGAACUGGUCCACUUGCAGUGGGACUAAGUCAGGUAAGCUCAGGUCUGCCCAGCGCUGUCCACACUCCCCGGAUGUGAGGCUGUUGUCUAUCAAAGCCAAGAUGGAACCAGGAAGUGGGCUUCUGUUGAUGUGAGCUGCAUCCGUGACCUACACCAUAGCUCAUGGCAACACUGGAUCCUUAACCCACUGAGCGAGGCCAGGGAUCAAAGCCGCAUCCUCAUGGAUGCUAGUCAGGUUCAUUACCGCCAAGUCACGACAGGAAUCCUGGAGGGUUCUUUUUUUUUUUUUUUUUUUUUUUUGUCCAUAAACACGAGUUUAAUUAGCCUUUGGGGCCCUGCAAGGAAGAAAUAAGCAAACAGAAUCCACCCCUGAGACUGUUAAAAGUGACAGACGCCUGGAGACUUGAAGUGCUGGGGAUGAGACCCAAAGAGGCUCAAUGAAGGGCUGAAAACUUGAGACUCAAUCCUUUUCUGCAGGGGAUCAGGGGACAGCGCUAAGCUCCCGCAGCCGAGGGCAGGGCCCUCAGGAAGGAUCAGGUCAGGAGGAGAGGGCAGCGGACUAGGUCUGCUCACGCCCGGACAGCCGCGGGCUCUUCUCGCAGGAUCUUGCCGGGAGCCGUGUCCACUCUUGCUGGACCAGGUUGGACCUGAGGCCCCUGAAAACCAGAGUUGGAAUACCCUGGGUAGGAGGAGGAACUGGAGGAGAAAAUCGCAAAAGCAAAGAGGCGGUGGUGGAGUCUCGCAGCCGGUUAAAGAUCCGGCAUUGUCACUCCCGCCUGGACCCCUUCUUAUUUUUAUCUGCUCUCAUCCUUAUCUGCCUCACGAGGAGGUGUAACUCUUGUGAGGUUUGCCCUUUUCCAGAAGAACUACCUGAGAAUCCUGGGGGUGACUCCAGGCGAGGAGCCCCCACCCCUUUCCAGACACCAGCUGGAAAGAGCAUUGAAGAUGGGCCGUGGUCUCCAUUCUGCCUUGUGUGGCUGCCAUGUGGCAGGGCCACUGGGAACAGUCCCUGGGGUUUUGUGGUGGACACUUGGCCACGGCUAGCGGGACGUCCCUGCUGGUCUCCACACCCAGGCGGGCCCCUGUCUGGGGGCCAAGUUCACAAAUCUUUCUAACUCAUGGUGAUGUACACCUGCACUGAUCCCCCUCCCUAAGCCUGGGUUCAUGAUAACCCCUAACACCAUCCAUGGACAGUGCUGGAGCCAAGCCAGCACCCCAAACCCCUGACCCUUGAGUUCACACUUCCUUUACUUUAAGGCACAAGAAUUUUUUUUUUUUUUUUGCUAUUUCUUGGGCCGCUCCCGCGGCAUAUGGAGGUUCCCAGGCUAGGGGUCCAAUUGGAGCUAUAGCCACCAGCCUACGCCAGAGCCACAGCAACGCGGGAUCCGAGCCACGUCUGCAACCUACACCACAGCUCACGGCAACACUGGAUCGUUAACCCACUGAGCAAGGGCAGGGACCGAACCCGCAACCUCAUGGUUCCUAGUCGGAUUCGUUAACCACUGCGCCACGACGGGAACUCCGAAUUUUUCUUUCUUGUCUUGUUUUUUCCUAACCAUUGGUCCAUGGUUGAAACCAUCUCUGUGGUACCCAGCUGCAUCCUAUUUAACAAACAGAAGGAAUUUAAUACAAGGAUGGAUGACACAGUGCAGAAGGGCUGAGAUACCCCAGGGACUCAUCUUCCAUCCGCUGAAGGGACUGGGGAGAGGGUAGUGUUACUGGAGCCAGGACUUGGGGCCCUUGCUGUGGAGGGUGGGGGAGCAUGGGCAGGACUCCAGAAGGAGAGAUGGAAAAGACACAGCACUUCCUGAAAUGCCCCUAAGACCGGCAACGAGUGUGUCUGCCCUAGACCUGGUCACAGGCAGUGGUGAGCUGGUCGGAGCCCAACAACCUGGCCCAACUCCAAGUACAAAUUUUCCUUUUCUUUUUUUUUUUUUUUUUGGCUGCACCUGUGGCAUGUGAAAAUUCCUGGGCCAGCAGGGAUCAAACCCGUGCCACAGCGACCUGAGCCACAGCAGUAAUAAUGCUGGAUCCUUAACCUGCUAAGCCACCAGGAAACUCCCAACAUGACAGGGGUUUUAAUCCCAACUAAUUCUCUUUAAAAAAAUAGAAAGUAGUAGGAGUUCCUGUCGUGGCUCAGAAAUAACAAACCCAACUAGUAUCCAUGACGAUGAGUGUUCAAGCCCUGGCCUUGCUCAGAGGGUUAAGGAUCUAGUGUUACCAUGAGCUGUGGUGUAGGUUGCAGGCGAGGCUCAGUGUUGCGGUGCCUGUGGUGUAGGCCAGCAGCUGCAGCUCCCAUUUGACCCCUAGCUUGGGAACUUCCAUAUGCCGCAGGUCCAGCCCCAAAAAAGAAAGAACCCGUAUCCAGGGGCUGGAUUCUUAACCUGCUAGAUCACCAGGAGACUCCAAUUCUGCUUAAUUCUUGGAAUAACCCCAAGGAGCACUGAGAACUUCUAUACCCCUCCUGCAGAUGGGGAACCAGAGACUCAAGGAGGGAAGUGACCUGGCACAAGGCACAUGCUUUGCACCAGGCAGUCCUGGGGUCUUACUCAGACUGGCUCGACUGCAAACAUCUGUUCCUCCCACUCUGCCCGGCUGUCUAGUAUUUGUCGUUUUUUUGUUUGUUUGUUGUUUUUCUUUUUAAACAACAGUCAUGUUUUAAAUGGCAAACAUACAAGCAAACAGAACUUAAUAAAACUUAAUAGCAAGCCCACUGCUUUCAUUAAUUCAAUUAUAAAUUGGCUCUGCAGCAAAUUCAGAAAAAUCCAUGUCAUUUGUUUAAAAUGGCUCAUUUGUAACCAAAGCUAAUAAAUAGUUCUCUGGGAAAGGCAGCUCAUAAGCAGAUGCUUCUGAUGAGAAACAGUGAGCAUACAGAGUUGGUUUUUUUUUUCCUUUCCUCUGCACUUGAUAGAGAUGAUGUGUACCAGAAUUUAAUUUUGUCUAAUAAAAAUGUUCAUCACUC